RNAcentral lists this ribosomal RNA (425 nucleotides) under Proshermacha sp. MYG362. RNAcentral's name for it is "partial large subunit ribosomal RNA". It matches the Rfam family "Archaeal large subunit ribosomal RNA", at positions 1912 to 2666 of the family's 2987-position model. The record is from RNAcentral. Lineage: Eukaryota; Metazoa; Arthropoda; Arachnida; Araneae; Anamidae. RNAcentral also lists the same sequence under 1 other name.
UAAGAGAGCUGAUUCUUAGUACACCCUGCUCAAUGAUAAUUAAAUAGCCGCAAAAUUUGUGCUAAGGUAGCAUAAUCAUUUGCCUAAUAAUUAUAGGAUAGCAUGAAUGGGAUAACAUGUAAUCUUCUUUAUCAAGAAAAACACUCUAACUUACUAAGUAAGCAAGAAUACUUACAAAACUAGGGGGACGAUAAGACCCUGUCAAACUUUACCCCUAAAGUUUAGCUGGGGCGGCAGAAAAUCAAAUCUUUACCUCAAUAAUCCUAUAUAACCCUUACAAAGGAUAAACAAGUUACUGCAGGGAUAACAGCACAAUCACCUCUAAAAGACCUUAUAUAAGAAGUGGCUUGUGACCUCGAUGUUGAAUUAAAGAUCUUUUAGAGGCAACUCUCUAAUAAGAAAGUCUGUUCGACUUUUAAACCAUU